This 492-nucleotide ribosomal RNA is filed under the name uncultured bacterium. RNAcentral's name for it is "partial 16S ribosomal RNA". It matches the Rfam family "Bacterial small subunit ribosomal RNA", at positions 29 to 507 of the family's 1533-position model. The record is from RNAcentral.
AGUGAACGCUGGCGGUAGGCCUAACACAUGCAAGUCGAACGGCAGCACAGUAAGAGCUUGCUCUUACGGGUGGCGAGUGGCGGACGGGUGAGGAAUACAUCGGAAUCUACUUUUUCGUGGGGGAUAACGUAGGGAAACCUACGCUAAUACCGCAUACGACCUACGGUUGAAAGCAGGGGAUCUUCGGACCUUGCGCGAAUGAAUGAGCCGAUGUCGGAUUAGCUAGUUGGCGGGGUAAAGGCCCACCAAGGCGACGAUCCGUAGCUGGUCUGAGAGGAUGAUCAGCCACACUGGAACUGAGACACGGUCCAGACUCCUACGGGAGGCAGCAGUGGGCAAUAUUGGACAAAGGGCGCAAGCCUGAUCCAGCCAUACCGCGUGGGUGGAGAAGGCCUUCGGGUUGUAAAGACCUUUUGUUGGGAAAGAAAAGCAGCAGGUUAAUACCCCGCUGUUCUGACGGUACCCAAAGAAUAAGCACCGGCUAACUUCGUG